UGGUCCUACGGGGGGCAGCAGUAGGGAAUUUUCGUCAAUGGGCGCAAGCCUGAACGAGCAAUGCCGCGUGAACGAGGAAGGUCUUCGGAUCGUAAAGUUCUGUUGAAGGGGAAAAAGAGCGGAGAGAGGAAAUGGUCUCCGAUUGAUAUUACCCUUCGAGGAAGUCACGGCUAACUACGUGCCAGCAGCCGCGGUAAUACGGAGGAUGCGAGCGUUAUCCGGAUUUAUUGGGUUUAAAGGGUGCGUAGGCGGAAGGUUAAGUCAACGGUCAAAUGUCGGUGCUCAACACCGGCCUGCCGUUGAAA
RNAcentral lists this ribosomal RNA (305 nucleotides) under uncultured bacterium. RNAcentral's name for it is "bacterial SSU rRNA". It matches the Rfam family "Bacterial small subunit ribosomal RNA", at positions 334 to 632 of the family's 1533-position model. The record is from RNAcentral.